RNAcentral lists this ribosomal RNA (345 nucleotides) under Homalium cochinchinense. RNAcentral describes it as "eukaryotic LSU rRNA". The stretch from base 1 to 87 matches the Rfam family "5.8S ribosomal RNA", at positions 70 to 154 of the family's 154-position model. The record is from RNAcentral. Lineage: Eukaryota; Viridiplantae; Streptophyta; Magnoliopsida; Malpighiales; Salicaceae.
AAUUGCAGAAUCCCGCGAACCAUCGAGUCUUUGAACGCAAGUUGCGCCCGAGGCCUCCUGGCCGAGGGCACGUCUGCCUGGGUGUCACGCAUCGUCGCCCCCGAACCCCCUCGUCUCGCGAGGGGCGGGCGCGGAAACUGGCCUCCCGCGCGCUCUCCGCUCGCGGUUGGCCCAAAAUCGAGCCGUGGGCGACGGUCGCCACGACGAGCGGUGGUUGAGAGACCCUCGAAAGCGGUCGUGCGCGCGCCCCGUCGCCCCUCGGGAUCUCCUGGACCCUCGAGCGUCCGGCCUUCGCGGACGCUCUCGUUGCGACCCCAGGUCAGGCGGGACUACCCGCUGAGUUUA